UGGGGAAUAUUGGACAAUGGGGGCAACCCUGAUCCAGCGACGCCGCGUGUGUGAAGAAGGCCUGCGGGUUGUAAAGCACUUUUAGUGGGGACAAAAAGCUAAGGGCUAAUACCUCGUGGUCUUGAUUUAACCCAAAGAAAAAGCACCGGCUAACUCUGUGCCAGCAGCCGCGGUAAUACAGAGGGUGCGAGCGUUAAUCGGAAUUACUGGGCGUAAAGCGUGCGUAGACGGUUUCGUAAGUCGGGUGUGAAAUCCCCGGGCUCAACCUGGGAAUUGCAUUCGAAACUGCGAGGCUAGGGUACGGAAGAGGGAAGCGGAAUUUCUGGUGUAGCGGUGAAAUGCGUAGAUAUCAGAAGGAACAUCAGUGGCGAAAGCGGCUUCCUGGUCCAGUACCGACGUUCAGGCACGAAAGCGUGGGGAGCAAACAGGAUUAGAUACCCCCGUAGUCC
This 449-nucleotide ribosomal RNA is filed under the name uncultured bacterium. RNAcentral's name for it is "bacterial SSU rRNA". It matches the Rfam family "Bacterial small subunit ribosomal RNA", at positions 355 to 796 of the family's 1533-position model. The record is from RNAcentral.